Molecule: long non-coding RNA, 5294 nt
Organism: Pezoporus occidentalis (night parrot)
Lineage: Eukaryota; Metazoa; Chordata; Aves; Psittaciformes; Psittacidae
Exons: 2
Source: RefSeq, a predicted model, not a curated record
GUGCACAAUAAAUAAACAUGCUUUUUUUUAAGUGCAUUGUUAACAGCGCUGCCUCAGAAAGAAGAAUUAGAGAGAUUUUCUGUAAGACCAAGAAACAAAACUCAACCCCAUGCUCAAAAAAUAUGCCUCCUAUUCACUGACAUAAGAACCAUUCAUGCGAGGCCAGGUUCGCUUUUAAUGAAUGGCGUCCUAAAUCACUGCUUUCACUGAACAUGUUUGCAAUGCAGAAUAAGGUGAUAUGGGCUAGGAAUAUCUUAGUAUGCGUUUCAGUCUUUUUCCAUUUAAUUUUAAUUGAAUACAGACAAUGUGAUGCUCUGACUCCCUUAGAAACGUUGUUUGUCUGAGGCUUAAAUUAAUCUAGACCAGAAGGAGAUCAUAUUACUUUGUGAGUAAGCAGAACACGAAAUAUUAUGACGGUUUUCCUCUGGUACAUGUGACACCAAGUCUAGCCCAGGGGCAGGAUUCUUGCAGGCGACAGCUCUCUCUUGCCAGUGCCAGAGGUCUUAAACCAGACCACCUACCAGAGCCAGAUGCCUUUUACUGCUCUGUGUGCAGCUCUCUGCAAAUCCCAGUUCACAAAGGCCAGAGCACAGAAUGCUGAUACUGGAGGAGAGUCUAAUUCAUUUCUUGUUAAUUAAAAACAAUACCAGACUGGUUGGAGGACUCAAAAAUACUUCCUGUGUUCUGAAUAUGGAUACUAGUUUCCACUGUCUUUGCAGUAAUUUAACUUCAAGAUUUGAGAGGCAGCAAUAUGAAGGAAGACAGGGAGCCAGACAUUUGGCUCAGGUGACAUAUAUCCUCUCAUUCUGGUGGUGUGGUGAGAUGAGCUGCAAAUAAAAUAUCUUCUGAUCCUUCCUCAGAAUAUGGGAUGCAGAAUAAGGAAAGUGAGAUGUGAAGUGAAUUUCCUGAGCAAAAAUCAUCAGAGUAGCAAUAAAAAGAUGAGAUAGGGAGCAUUCCUCAAAUAAAUUAUACUUUCUUGAAGGGCAAGACCCCUUCAAGAAAAGGAUCAUGCUAGAAACAAGCUUUUCUGCUAAAUUAAAAACAGCAUAAGGUUAGUUACCAGUCAGGCUAUUUACUAAAGGGCUUUAUGUCAAAAUUUCCCAGCCUGAGAUACAUAAAAAGAACUUAUUUUUCAGGAACCAAGAACUGAUCCUAGAAAAUCUGUGUAGACUUAAAGCUCAGUUGUUAAAUUCAUAGAGUAAUUCCUUUAUGUUCUGUGGAAGUCAGGUCUUUGGUCAUGCUUGCUCCUCUGUGGAUACUUAAGACAGAGAGAGGGUUCAAAGGCUCAUCCAAAAAGUGAGCAGUAUUUGGACAGUAUUGAGGCUUGUGAGUAAUCCACCGCCCAGAGGAGUGCAGACCUGGUGAUAAGAUGGCCUGUCCUUCAAGGACCCAGGGUUCACAUCUCACAUAAUUCCUUCACACAGAGCCCUUCCCAGGAUGGCCAAUAUCCUUUUAAAAGCCAGUGCUUGAUUAAAGAAGUUCUAUAAAAGGAGAUGGUUAGAAGUAAAAAGAUGCAGGUAUGCAAAAGACUGCACAGAUAUAAUGUCCUGCAGGGAGGAGCAAAUAAUCUGAAGAGGCUAUUUGAAUGGGAAAUACAAAGUGCUAGGAUUUUCAAGGAACUUAGGCAUGGCAUUACUUGUGAAUCAAGGGAUUAUUUCAGUGUUGGUAUGUCAGGAAAUACGAUGCAGGUGAGUUUAGAGGGCAUGAGGCCAGAGAGAGGAAGCAAUCAUGAAGGUGCAAAGAUGGACAGCACACACAAACAAGGCCUCAGAAAAGGAUGUUGUGCACAGAAGAUUGAUUUGGAAAAAAAAGAAAAAUAGCAGUUCUGCGUUGCUAGGCUUAGAGAGACCAAAAGAACACACCAAGACUAUGCACUGUGCAAAUCACUUCUGGAAACUAAGCAAGAGACAAGGACAAAAAAAAAAAAGAAUGAACAACCCCUAUUUCUCAUAAUUGCCAUCUUUAACUAGAAGAAUAAGGCAGUGUGAAAAGCUGAGGAGCUUUCAAAAUGGAAAACUGAAGGCAAGAUUUGCCUUCCAAUAGCAGGAGUGCAGGAUUCACUGUAAUUGUUCUAACAAAGCUUUAGUUGUUGUCAGAUUGCAACUUGAAUGAUCACUGACGAGAACUGCAGCAUACUGUAAAGACUGUGUCUCCCUGAGAUGAAUGCUGUAGCAGUUCCUUGGCUGAAAGUUUAUACUUUGAACUCAUCUAAGAGUAUAAGAAGUCUAACUUAAGGUCUGAUGUGUAAGCAGUUCAGUGUGGUGAGAAACGUACCUCUCCAUCUUCUGCUGUGCACAAGGCAUCAAAGAUGAACGAGCUGAGGAGAAAGGAUGGCUCAGCAACAGACUCUGAGCUGUUUUUAAUGUUAAUAAUGUCUAAACUCUGUCUAGGCUUCAGAAUCACAAUGUCAAUUUUGUUCCAAAUUCUGAACAAGAUAUCACAUGAAGAGCACAAAAUCAUUUACAAAAAUAUAUAUUUCACACUAAAUUAUUCUACUGUCUUACGCUUUGGUUCGGUAGUUCCCCUUUCAAUUGAGAUUUCAGUAGGAAUGUCAGACAAAGACAUAACUAAGAAUAAAUACAUUGGUAUCAUUGAUUGUUGUGUUAGAAGACUGCAGCUUGUCUGCAUACCAAUGAGAAUUAGUUUUGCGUUUGUGGAUGAGACUACAUCAAGUUAAGAAGAGAGAAACAAUGGAAGACCUUAUGGAGUAUACUGGGAGGAGGGAAGGGAAAAAGGAGACAAAAAGGGAAAGAGGGAUAAAAAGGUGGGGAAGGGGAUGGAAAAGGAGGGGAGCAGGCCAAGCAGGAAGGCAGGCUCACUCAAGGAUGUACACAAAGUGAUUAGAAAUGCAGGAAGCUCAGGGAGGAAAAGCUUCACAGGAGCAAGGGGGGGACAAGAUUUCAAAACAAGAACAGAUUACAUUCUCAAAGGUAAAAUGAAAGUCAGUGGAGAUGAGGCUUCAAAACCUUGGCUAAGAAUAAGUCUUAAUUUUGCAACUGUCUGAUAGGAGAUGUACUGAAUAUUUUGCUGCUGACCUGGGCUUCAACAUCAAUAACUUUUCAAGUUAGAUGAUAUGUCUUAGUCUAGAAAUCUGUAUCUGGUUUGUCAAUGAGAGCAGUAUUAGGCACUGGAAGAAGCUGUCUGCAUUCAACAGGCAUCUCUGUAGCAAGUAUCUGGUGAGGAGGCAAGCGAGAGAAGGAACAUCAUUCAUUUGUGGACACGUGAGAUGUCAGGUGUGCACUUUCAGAACAGUUUGGACAAAGCCAUUCAAUUCCAGUUCUGCCCCAGGAGGACACACAUCAGUUAAUGCAGGGCAAGUUAUUUGCAUAAUACAUUAGGGUCCAAAUGCUGCUGUCAUCAGUGUAAUCACUUCAUAUAAAGCACAUUAGCACACAUGAAAGAGAUUUGCAAUGAUGAAUGAAAUGUCUUUCCCUCUUUUCUCCCCAAUAAAUUAUAGAAAACUAUAGUGACACACAGAAAGUGAUAGUGACAAGAAAUCCUCAACUGCAGCAGCAAAAAGUAUGCACAAAACAAAGCACACUGGAGACAGUAACUAUUAAUCUUCUUUAGUAUUUCUAGACAAAUCUUUACUCUUUUCUUUGCAAAUGGAAAUUUUUUCUGUGAUAUUUACAGGCAUAACAUAUCUGAACUGGAAUUCUGAGACUGAAACUCAUCCAGAUUCUGUUAAAUCUGAAAAUCUUGUAACAUACGGAAAUAUUAUUACUUUAAAUCUCUCAUAAUGCUUGGGAUGGAUUACCAUCAGAGAAUGGUUUGGGUUGGAAGGGACUCUAAAGCUCAUCUAGUUCUAGCCCCCUGCCAUGGGCAGGGACACCUUUCACUAGACCAGGUUGCUCCAAGCCCCGUCCAACCUGGCCUUGAACACUGCCAGGGAUGGGGCAGCCACAGCUUCUCUGGGCAUCUUGUGCUAGUGUCUCACCACUCUCACAGGGAAGAAUUUCUUCCUCAUAUCUAAUGUAAAUCUUCCCUCUGUCAGUUUAAAUCCAUCCCCCUUGUCCUGUCACUACAUGCCUUUGUAAAAAGUCCCUCUCCAGAUCUUGUCUGCCCCUUUAAGUACAGAAGCCACCUCUUCUCCAGGCCAAACAAGCCCAUCUCUCUCAACCUGUCUUCAUAGCAGAAAUGCUCCAAUCUCUGAUCAUCUUUGUGGCUUCCUCUGGACUUGCUCCAACAGCUCCACGUCCAUCAGGGGAACACUUUGUACAAAUCAGAACAUUUUCUGUAUGCAGUGACAGCUGCAUGACAUUAAUUUCUGGCACACAGCUCCCCAGACAUGCUUAUUGCCAUUUAUAUAGCGUAUGUCUGAGCUCUGCUAAGGAAAGAUUUACCUAUACAGCUGACUUUCAGAGGUUCUCUUCAUCCUGUACACACACCAGCAGCUUCCUUUCACUCAGACUAAAUGCUGUUUUUCUUACCUAUAUUCAGUAUUUCUGACAGACAUUUACUUUAAUUGUUACCACUGGGAUCAUGCCAUUUAACCAAUCACUGUUAGUCUCCACCCUCUGCCGUCAUGCUCUACUGAUAGCAUGCCAUAGUUUCUAUUCACCAAGUUCUUCUGUAUAACAUAUUCUUACAAUCUCUCUGCUUUUUCAGCUCCUGGAGGCUCAGAGAUACCUUGAUCAAAUCAUGAACCAGUCAUAGCAUGAACAGAUGUGAGACACCUUGCUCUGUUCAGGCUGCAGAUGAGCACCCUGUAUGAGUAGCCAGGCCCGGUUUGGACACAUUAUGCAGGGACAUCUGUGCUGACACCCCUGGCAUCCCAUGAGCUCUGGUGCUACAGGCACAGAGAGCCCUGUACUCACAGGAGAGCAGGUGUUCAGCAGAGCUGGUCAGGGUGUUUCAGCUGGGCAGCCUCACACCUCAAAGGAGCUAUCAACACUACAGUGAAGAGCUAGAGAAAUCUGGGGAGUGACAGCAUGAGUUGUGGGUGCUUCAAGGUCAAGGAAGAGAAAAAGGGCUCUGGUGUCCCCAACAACUUUCCUGUUCCCCUUGUGGAAAUCACUACUACCACAACCAAAAGAGUAAAUUCCAAACUGAAAGAGAGCUGUGACCCCCACCAAAACAGGCAGGAUAUAACUUCAGGCAGCGUUUUGACUCUUCAGCUGAACUGCUUCACAUGCCAUUCGUUCAUUCAACUGGAGCAAAAGAAGAGAAAGGCAGGCCCUCUGUCUUUCAGAAGCUCAACCCUGGCCUUAUUGAUUUCCACAGCAGGUAUUUUCCCACUUAAUCCUCUUCACUGUAAUUCACGUAAGUAAAAUAAAUACUCUGCAGAGGAGGUA